RNAcentral lists this unclassified non-coding RNA (750 nucleotides) under uncultured Prochlorococcus sp. Its description in RNAcentral is "partial contains 16S ribosomal RNA and 16S-23S ribosomal RNA intergenic spacer". The stretch from base 1 to 267 matches the Rfam family "Bacterial small subunit ribosomal RNA", at positions 1268 to 1533 of the family's 1533-position model. The record is from RNAcentral. Lineage: Bacteria; Bacillati; Cyanobacteriota; Cyanophyceae; Synechococcales; Prochlorococcaceae.
GCAAUCCCAUAAACCGUGGCUCAGUUCAGAUCGUAGGCUGCAACUCGCCUACGUGAAGUAGGAAUCGCUAGUAAUCGCAGGUCAGCAUACUGCGGUGAAUACGUUCCCGGGCCUUGUACACACCGCCCGUCACACCAUGGAAGUUGGCCAUGCCCGAAGUCGUUACUCCAACCCUUGUGGAGGAGGACGCCGAAGGUGGGGCUAAUGACUGGGGUGAAGUCGUAACAAGGUAGCCGUACCGGAAGGUGCGGCUGGAUCACCUCCUAACAGGGAGACAACAAAAUGUUUAUAUUAUUAUUUUGUCACCUUAGGUCGAUCGGUAUCUCACGUUCUUAGUUUAUUAAGAAUUUCAUUUCCUAAGUUUUUCUAGGUCACACCCAUUAUUUUUCCUGGGCCAUUAGCUCAGGUGGUUAGAGCGCACCCCUGAUAAGGGUGAGGUCCCUGGUUCAAGUCCAGGAUGGCCCAUAUCUCUAUGUUGGGGGUAUAGCUCAGUUGGUAGAGCGCCUGCUUUGCAAGCAGGAUGUCAGCGGUUCGAGUCCGCUUACCUCCACUGAUUACCACCUCUUCCAUAUCUAUAGAAAGGAAAUGUUUUGAGUUGUGAUCAAAUUCUGAACGAAUCUAGCUUCCUAAUGAAAUCAUUAAGAUGCUGGACUCAUUGAAUUAAUUUCAUUGUUUUCAGAGAACCUUGACAACUGCAUAGAUUAUUUUUAAAGACAAUAAGCAUCUUUAAUGAUGCAGAUUUAUUAUUUG